GUCUAGUUAGUUUUAAUAUAAAAUAUGGUUUUUGUAAUACCAAGAGAUCUGUUUUGGUACUAGACU
Molecule: transfer RNA, 66 nt
Filed under: Gyrodactylus salmonis
Lineage: Eukaryota; Metazoa; Platyhelminthes; Monogenea; Gyrodactylidea; Gyrodactylidae
Description: tRNA-Thr
Source: RNAcentral